This 704-nucleotide ribosomal RNA is filed under the name Colletes wolfi. RNAcentral describes it as "eukaryotic LSU rRNA". It matches the Rfam family "Eukaryotic large subunit ribosomal RNA", at positions 366 to 800 of the family's 3401-position model. Lineage: Eukaryota; Metazoa; Arthropoda; Insecta; Hymenoptera; Colletidae. The record is from RNAcentral.
GAAAAGAACUUUGAAGAGAGAGUUCAAGAGUACGUGAAACCGUUCAGGGGUAAACCUGAGAAACCCAAAAGAUCGAAUGGGGAGAUUCAUCGACGACGAAGCUGGCUCCCGUUGGCGUGCGAUUCCCCCGUUGGGACCUCGGUUCCAGAACGCGGGGUACACCCCUUCGGCGAAUAACCGGCGACGUAGUCGUGCACUUCUCCCUUAGUAGAACGUCGCGACCCGUUGUGUGUCGGUCUACGGCCCGGGCUAAUUGCCUGUCGCGGUGGCAUUCGUUCGCUCGCGGCAGAGGCUCGGUCGCCCGGCCGGCUGCACGACGGUACUCCGACGGUAUCGGGCCGCAACCAAUCCAUUCUCGAAUGGUAUAUGCGUCCAGGCCCGUCGCAAGCUCGGACAGCACCCGGAGCGUGUGGACGCAGCGCCCUCCCCGGGUCUGGCCAGCUGUUAGCAGACGGUGUCCUCGGACCGGCCAAGCUUCGAAUUACCGGUCAGCGACGCUAUUGCUUUGGGUACUCUCAGGACCCGUCUUGAAACACGGACCAAGGAGUCUAACAUGUGCGCGAGUCAUUGGGACAUUGAAACCUAAAGGCGAAAUGAAAGUGAAAGUCGUCGUAAGCGUCGACCAAGGGAGGAUGGGCCGCGUCACGUCGCGGCCUCGCACUCCCGGGGCGUCUCGUUCUCGUUGAGAAGAGGCGCACCCAGAG